CCACAGUUUCCAUCUUUUAUCUUAGAUAGUUCAAAUUUAAUUUAAUUUUGUAGAAAUCUUCUAGUUUCUGUUUGAAAUUACUAUUACAAUGCUUGUUAAAGGGUAUUCCAAUAUAUUUCAUUAAUUCAGAUAAUUUAUUAGACCACAAAUUUUCUCUGUACUAAGUUGAUAUUUUAAUAGGAUUGAUUGAUUGUUGGUUGCUUAAUGUCCAGUGGCAAAUAUUUCAGGCAUAUCUAUCAGGACGAAUAUUUACACAGUGUCUGUAAAUUGUGUCAUUUUAGGAUAAUUUAGUUUGUAUCAAGCGGAUACAUUGUUAUGACACAGUGUCUGUAAAUUAUGUCUUUUUAGAAUAACUUAGUUUGUAUCAAGGAGAUAUUCUGGUAGGACACAGUGUCUGUAAAUUGUGUCUUUUUAGGAUAAUCUAGUUUGUAUCAAUUAGAUCCAUUGAUGGACAAAGUGUCUGUAAAUUGUGUCUUUUAAGGAUAAUAUAGUUGUAUCAAGUAGAUACAUUGAUAUGACACAGUGUCUGUAAAUUGUGUCUUUUAAGGAUAAUAUAGUUUGUAUCAAGUAGAUAGAUAUGUUGAUAGGACAGUGUCUGUAAAUUGUGUCUUUUAAGGAUAAUAUAGUUUGUAUCAAGUAGAUAUGUUGAUAGGACACAGUGUCUGUAAAUUGUGUCUUUUAAGGAUAAUUUAGUUUGUAUCAAGUAGAUACAUUGAUAUGACACAGUGUCUGUAAAUUGUGUCUUUUAAGGAUAAUUUAGUUUGUAUCAAGUAGAUACAUUGAUAGGACAGUGUCUGUAAAUUGUGUCUUUUAAGAAUAAUUUAGUUUGUAUCAAGUAGAUAUGUUGAUAGGACAGUGUCUGUAAAUUGUGUUUUU
This 876-nucleotide long non-coding RNA is filed under the name Mytilus galloprovincialis (Mediterranean mussel). The record is from RNAcentral. Lineage: Eukaryota; Metazoa; Mollusca; Bivalvia; Mytilida; Mytilidae.